This 497-nucleotide ribosomal RNA is filed under the name uncultured bacterium. Its description in RNAcentral is "partial 16S ribosomal RNA". It matches the Rfam family "Bacterial small subunit ribosomal RNA", at positions 28 to 507 of the family's 1533-position model. The record is from RNAcentral.
GACGAACGCUGGCGGCGUGCCUAAUACAUGCAAGUUGAGCGCUGAAGGUUGGUACUUGUACCAACUGGAUGAGCAGCGAACGGGUGAGUACCGCGUGGGGAAUCUGCCUUUGAGCGGGGGACAACAUUUGGAAACGAAUGCUAAUACCGCAUAAAAACUUUAAACACAAGUUUUAAGUUUGAAAGAUGCAAUUGCAUCACUCAAAGAUGAUCCCGCGUUGUAUUAGCUAGUUGGUGAGGUAAAGGCUCACCAAGGCGAUGAUACAUAGCCGACCUGAGAGGGUGAUCGGCCACAUUGGGACUGAGACACGGCCCAAACUCAUACGGGAGGCAGCAGUAGGGAAUCUUCGGCAAUGGACGAAAGUCUGACCGAGCAACGCCGCGUGAGUGAAGAAGGUUUUCGGAUCGUAAAACUCUGUUGGUAGAGAAGAACGUUGGUGAGAGUGGAAAGCUCAUCAAGUGACGGUAACUACCCAGAAAGGGACGGCUAACUACGUG